CCUACGGGAGGCAGCAGUAGGGAAUCUUCCACAAUGGGCGAAAGCCUGAUGGAGCAACGCCGCGUGGGUGAAGAAGGUCUUCGGAUCGUAAAACUCUGUUGUUAGAGAAGAAAGUGCGUGAGCGUAUCUGUUCACGUUUCGACGGUAUCUAACCAGAAAGCCACGGCUAACUACGUGCCAGCAGCCGCGGUAAUACGUAGGUGGCAAGCGUUAUCCGGAUUUAUUGGGCGUAAAGGGAACGCAGGCGGUCUUUUAAGUCUGAUGUGAAAGCCUUCGGCUUAACCGGAGUAGUGCAUUGGAAACUGGCAGACUUGAGUGCAGAAGAGGAGAGUGGAACUCCAUGUGUAGCGGUGAAAUGCGUAGAUAUAUGGAAGAACACCAGUGGCGAAGGCGGCUCUCUGGUCUGUAACUGACGCUGAGGUUCGAAAGCGUGGGUAGCAAACAGGAUUAGAUACCCUUGUAGUC
RNAcentral lists this ribosomal RNA (465 nucleotides) under uncultured bacterium. Its description in RNAcentral is "partial 16S ribosomal RNA". It matches the Rfam family "Bacterial small subunit ribosomal RNA", at positions 338 to 795 of the family's 1533-position model. The record is from RNAcentral.